Molecule: long non-coding RNA, 342 nt
Organism: Nematostella vectensis (starlet sea anemone)
Lineage: Eukaryota; Metazoa; Cnidaria; Anthozoa; Actiniaria; Edwardsiidae
Exons: 2
Source: RefSeq, a predicted model, not a curated record
UACUAUGCCCAGUCUCACGCGGACACGCCUCAACUCAGAGUGGGAAAACAAAAUGGCGGUUCCGUUGAAUCGGGAAAAUCAUGUUGAACGCCGCUUUUUAACUCUUUGCUAGCAGUGAUUUCUUCUUAUCUGUUUAAGCAGGGAUUUCACCGACUCAGUGCGUCAUAUAUACCCUAUUUGUGUUGUUUCUCAUCGGCAACAGACCUCAUUUGCAGGGUUAUUUUUACGACUUCACCGAAUCGUACUGUAAUGAACGCGGAAGGGCUUGGAGAUGAUAGGAGAAUGGGAGUAUAGUCAUACCCUGGGUACCAGAGGCUCCAAGCUUCACUAGAGCAGAUAUCA